CCUACGGGAGGCAGCAGUGAGGAAUAUUGGUCAAUGGGCGCGAGCCUGAACCAGCCAAGUCGCGUGAGGGAAGACGGUCCUAUGGAUUGUAAACCUCUUUUGUCGGGGAGCAAAAAGCGCUACGUGUGCCGUUCCGAGAGUACCCGGAGAAAAAGCAUCGGCUAACUCCGUGCCAGCAGCCGCGGUAAUACGGAGGAUGCGAGCGUUAUCCGGAUUUAUUGGGUUUAACGGGUGCGCAGGCGGCAGUUUAAGUCAGCGGUAAAAUUGCGGGGCUCAACCUCUACGAGCCGUUGAAACUGGUUUGCUAGAGUGGGCGAGAAGUAUGCGGAAUGCGUGGUGUAGCGGUGAAAUGCAUAGAUAUCACGCAGAACUCCGAUUGCGAAGGCAGCAUACCGGCGCCCAACUGACGCUCAGGCACGAAAGUGUGGGUAUCGAACAGGAUUAGAUACCCUGGUAGUC
Molecule: ribosomal RNA, 459 nt
Filed under: uncultured bacterium
Lineage: Bacteria
Description: partial 16S ribosomal RNA
Rfam family: Bacterial small subunit ribosomal RNA
Source: RNAcentral